CUGGGUGAGCCGGGCACCGUUCCACACCGGCCGCUGUCGCCGCGCUCCCGCCCACAGCCGCACUUAACUUCCACUGUCGCCGCCGCUCCGGGGACAGAGACGCCGCCUCUAGUCGCCGACAGCUUCGGUUGGGCAGCGGCGUGAGGGACUCGCCGCGGCGUGCCGUCUGUCCCCCGGGCCUUUGUGCGGCCGGCCGAGCUCCCGCGUGUCCCCCGCUGGUCAGGGGCCGGGCACCCCCUCGACGGCCGCCCCCGCGCCCCGAGGAGACGGCGUCCUGAGGCACCUGCCGAGCUCCCGCCGGCCGAGCGGAGCGGGGCUUCGGCGGCGCUGCCGGCAGCGGGCGUCCCCGCAGGGAAGCCAGCUGGUUUGUGGCGGCAUCCAGACAAUGAGGACAUUCGGCCAAGCCCCACUGCGUGGUCAGCUGAAGAAUGAACACUGGAGAAACAGGAGACCUACAGAGACACUGUUCAUAUCAGAGGCUGAUUUGUUUAAAUAGAGGAAGGCACUCCCAGAAGAACUUCUACUAUAUAUCUGAGAGAAAGAAGACCAGAGAAGUCACAAGACACCCAUGGAGAAGCUAAUCCUGAGAGCAAUAAUAUGGGAACACCUGGACUCCUGACUCUGGGCCAGGACUGUGCUCUGCACUUCCCCACACAGCUUACUCAACCCCUCCUUCCCUUGAUUCUUGAAGAUUUGCAUCUUUAUCAAUUUUUAUUGCCCUGAAGCCAAGAAUUCAUAGAUAAGCAUCCUUUAUCCUCCCAUUAAAAACCAAUCUUCUAUCUGCACUUACUGGUUGCUGUGGUCUGAAUGUUUAUGUCCCCCCAAAUUCAUUAUGCUGAAAUUCUGACCCCCAAAGAUGAUGGUAUUAGGAGGUGGGACUUGUGGGAGGUGAUUAGCUCCUGAGGGUGGAGCCCUCAUGAAUGGGAUUAGUGCCCUUAUAAAAGAGACCCCCACAGAGAUCCCUAGCCCCUUCCACCACGUGAGGACACAGUGAGAGUAGGCUGGCUGUGAACUAGGAAG
Long non-coding RNA from Diceros bicornis minor, 1020 nucleotides. RefSeq lists it as uncharacterized. The record is from RefSeq and is a predicted model, not a curated record. Lineage: Eukaryota; Metazoa; Chordata; Mammalia; Perissodactyla; Rhinocerotidae. The transcript has 3 exons.